CGGAACGUGCCCAGUAGCGGGGGAUAACUACGCGAAAGCGUAGCUAAUACCGCAUACGCCCUACGGGGGAAAGCAGGGGAUCGCAAGACCUUGCACUAUUGGAGCGGCCGAUAUCGGAUUAGCUAGUUGGUGAGGUAAUGGCUCACCAAGGCGACGAUCCGUAGCUGGUUUGAGAGGACGACCAGCCACACUGGGACUGAGACACGGCCCAGACUCCUACGGGAGGCAGCAGUGGGGAAUUUUGGACAAUGGGGGAAACCCUGAUCCAGCCAUCCCGCGUGUGCGAUGAAGGCCUUCGGGUUGUAAAGCACUUUUGGCAGGAAAGAAACGGCGCGUGCUAAUACCAUGCGCAACUGACGGUACCUGCAGAAUAAGCACCGGCUAACUACGUGCCAGCAGCCGCGGUAAUACGUAGGGUGCAAGCGUUAAUCGGAAUUACUGGGCGUAAAGCGUGCGCAGGCGGUUCGGAAAGAAAGAUGUGAAAUCCCAGGGCUCAACCUUGGAACUGCAUUUUUAACUACCGGACUAGAGUGUGUCAAAGGGAGGGGGAAUUCCACGU
Molecule: ribosomal RNA, 559 nt
Filed under: uncultured bacterium
Lineage: Bacteria
Description: bacterial SSU rRNA
Rfam family: Bacterial small subunit ribosomal RNA
Source: RNAcentral